Molecule: long non-coding RNA, 768 nt
Organism: Sapajus apella (tufted capuchin)
Lineage: Eukaryota; Metazoa; Chordata; Mammalia; Primates; Cebidae
Exons: 2
Source: RefSeq, a predicted model, not a curated record
AGAAAUAAGAAAGCUGUACUUGACUUUCGCUCUGGUGCUUUUUAAGAUCAAACAGGAAUCUUAUACUCUUUCAUUGCCGUCUACAUUUCUUUUUUUUCUCCUGUCCUCUUUCUUUUUAAAUUCAGAUCAUUUAACGGAAGAGGUUCAUAGCUAAAAAUAAAUCUUCAUUGUACUGAGCUGCCUAUGAUGUCAUUUACUGUAUUCUUAGGUCUCCAGAGUCAACACUCCAGGCAUGUAGACACACACAGGAGAAUAAAACCUCAGUUCCCAGGCAGCUUCCAGAAGCUGUGGCAUUGCUGUGGCCUGAGGCCUGGACUUCCCCAGGGGAUAAGUAUCCAGAUCGUUUGUGCCCUUUCAUAUCACCUUUCAUUCAGCGGUCUUACCUGGAUUAGUAGCCAAGCACCUACCCAAAGAGAGCUCGUGGUGCAGAGGGAGAUGGACCUCAGGUAGCGGCAGCAGGCCGGGGACCGUGGCUUUUACACACUGCUUCACACACCCCUGUCCAGGAGUUUUACACACUCACUUAACAAACGGAAGUCACCAGCCAAUUCACUGGAGCCCCGCUGGAUAAAUAUGGAAAAAAUGUGGGAGCUAUGUCAUGAACCACAGUGGUUUUGCGUUCUGUGUAAUUUGAAGACGAGAUUCUUUUGCUAUGUGUCACCUCCCAUAUUACCACUGUCACCCAAUAUUUCGUAACCAUCAACUCUUUGCCAGUGCCCACAUGCAAAGAUGGGUUUGUAUUAAAAAAUAAAUGAGAACAGCACAUUC